Molecule: long non-coding RNA, 1415 nt
Organism: Apis florea (little honeybee)
Lineage: Eukaryota; Metazoa; Arthropoda; Insecta; Hymenoptera; Apidae
Source: RefSeq, a predicted model, not a curated record
GAUUCUUCUGUUCCUACACUUUCUGUAUUCAUCAAACAGCUACUUAUGUCAUGUUAAUCUAAUCAUUUGCGGAACUAUCGAAUAAUCGAUCUAGCCAGUAAAGAUUGGAAUUCCACGAAUUGCAUUGAAGAAUGUGUUUCUUUGCACUUUCUCAAGACACCGUAGGCAAAGAAAAAUCGCGGGUGAAGACUAUCAAUAACUUCUGCGGAAUUCGCGCUAAAGGUUAACCGAAAGAGCGACCCGUCGCGUGUGUUCACAGAUCGAUCGGAGAAAUCGUCGAUUGUAGCUGCAAGACCAUUUUUUACAAAACGACCUUUCUAUCAACACAAGAUCAAAGAUUAGAUUCUUAACUAUCUAACGCUAUUAUGUUACCCUUCAACAAAGAAUCUUCGGAUGGUCAUAGUUGACGUUAUGCAUGACGAUUUUACGGUUGAUGGAAGAUCUUGAAUUGGUGGAACGAAGUAAUAUGAUCGGAGAGAUUGAAAGCUGGAGGAUGGAAAAGGAUCACAAAAUAAGCGAGCAUAAAAGAAGAAAAAAGAUCGAUAGAAGAUUAGUGAAAGAAGAAGAAAGAGAAAGAAAACUAAAGUUAGAAAGGUAUACGAUAGUAUCUACGAGGGCUUCUGUCUUGAGCGUGACUGACCUUGUGAGGAGAAAUGUUGGUAUAGAGGAUCACGAACAUAAACGUAUAUUUGCUACGACUGGGUGGAAAGAGCGUGAAAAAGAAGCCUUGGCAUGGAAACUGGUUGACGUGUCCACAAUGGCGGGCAGGGUUACGUAGGCGCCCUUGGAUCCCUAUUCAGGAUCAGCCUCGUCGAAUAGGAGCUCGAAAAGGAUACGGUGCUCUCGGCAUCGCGAGCACCCACGCGAGAAACAGGGAAGCUUUGUGAAAAAAAGGGGAGAGAGUAACGGUAAAGAAAAGAAUAUUUAUAUUUCAAAAAUGAAACUCUUACGUUGAAUGCAAAUUAUCGCAAAUUGAAUUCAUCGAUUAUAAUUGUGAAAACAUGACACAAUUUAAGAUACUUGUAUUCGAGUAAUUAAAUUGGACAUAACGGAAGGCGACAGAGUGAAAAUGCAUCGAUAAUAUUUCUUUGAAAUGAAAAAAGAAAUGAAAAAAGGAAACAUCUGGCUGUAAUUGAAUAUUGGUCAUAGCAGAAAAAUGUAUUUCUUGUAGAAGCUAUUGAAACCACAAGUUCUUCUUUCAAAAAAAGCAAAAUCAAGUAUUCGAUAUAUUUUUUGCACUCUUAUAUAUCCAUUCUAGAAAUAUUGUCAUUUCUUUCUGCUUCUUGCAAAAACAAUGUGUCAAAGAAUCGAAGAUUGUUAUGUUAUUACUAACCCACGAUGGAACAAUGUUUCACUUUCAAUUUUUUUUUGAGAGACGAUAGUUUUUUAUAAGAGCAAAAUAAUAUUCUCUCAAA